UUAAAUUAGCAAUACAAUAAACACCUGUCAGUCUUUGGGCGCUGCUUUGUGCUGUUUAUCAGAUGAUGUUAGCCGUUACUUGCGUUUAAAACUAACGUAUUUAAAUUAACAAAGCUGCUUUUGUUAGCUGACAUGCUUAUUUAAAGGUCCAAACAUCGUACGGGGUGAUGUUAUUAAGCUAGCUCCCUAAAAGGACGUUUAUAUAUUGACGAAAGCUCGCGGCUAGCUUUGCUACUGAAUGGAGCAUGCUGUCUGUUUAUCGACUCUAAAAUGUGGUCACAACGCGAGUAAGCUGUUUUAUUCUUACCUUAAGAAACGCAGACCGACUUGCUGAAGUGUUUCAUUCAGUCUGAGGCAGCUACAGUAACUACAUGUACCGCUGCUGUGAAAAAAAAAAAAAAAAAAAAAAAACAGGAAAAGGGGAGGAAAUUACGCAUUUGGCCUAGUUUUUUAUGCACUGCAGUGUUUCAUCCGGGACACUAGAUGGCAGCAAAAACAUCACGUGGUAGGAUGAACUCCAUCUUUACUGGGGGCAAAUGUGUAGUUUUGAUUUAAAUUGAGUAUUUAUGACAUAUAUUCAACAAAAACAUGAACACAGCAACAAAGUGGUCUAAUUUAUGACUUACAGAAAAGGUUAGAAGGUUUUUAAAAAGCGUUAAAUUUAGCCAUAUUAUACAACAAACAUUUUUGAGCUGAUCAUAGGAGCUUCAGUAGAAAUCAGCUGGACUUCUCUUGUAGGUUGUUGAAGAUGUUUCACCUCUCAUCCAAGGGGCUUCUUCAGUUCUAACUCACUGAUAGGGAGUUGCAGAAUGGUCCGUGUAUAUUUUGGGAAUUGGAUUUUCCGUUCUGAAAUGGGUAUUGAAAAACAAAAAACGAGUGGUUAUUUGAUUUUCGUUUUAAAAUACAAAAAUUAAAAUUGAAAUACAAGGCGUUUUUCCUUUUCAUGAUCAAAAAGGGAUAUACGAAAUUUUAAAAAUGCUUUGAUUUUCAUUUUAUAUUUAGAAUAACAAAAAAAAUAAAAUCAGUAAGAGACAGAAACGAAAAAAGGACCGUUUUUCAUUUUCUGAGACCGGAAGGUGGUCAUCAGCAAGUGUGGAGCCAAACGACAACGAUUCUCAGAGGGUGGAGCCAGAGAGCAGUCAUUGGUCAGACCAUAGAUAAUAUAGAAGACAGCGUGCUAGCGUAUCUAGUCUAUGUGUAUCUAUGGUCAGCACGUCUGGUAGCUAGUGACGGCGAGAUGAAGCUUCAUGAAGCAUUGAGGCUUUCCAUCCAAUUGGUUCACUCAUGGUUCGAAGCUUCAUGGUGCUUCAUUUGCUCUACUGCGCCAUCAACUGGACAAAUAAAAGUAAAACAGGCAGAGUGCCUAUAAUGACACACUAGCUUUGCCAUGUGAAGCUUUGAAUUGUGCUUAAAUGAUAAUGCCAAUAAACAAGUAAUAUACUUAAUAUAGUGUCUGCUUUUCCUGAUAGCAGGGACAGAGGGGGAAAUGGAAACAAAUUGGGGAGAGAUUUGAGAUUUGUAGCUUGACUACUUGAUUGAUGUCAGGUUCUGGCUUUCUGUAAAGUGCUUAGAUAUUUUUAAUUGUAAUAAGAAUAAAAUUAAUGAAAAUUAAAAUAAAAAUAUCAAAUUUUCCACAGUGCUGGGAUUCAGGUGGGUUCUUUUUUGGACAAUAUUUCUCUAGCUCCUUGGAACACAAGAGACACUUCUUUUAAAAUCCCAGAAAAAGAAGAAAUUAGAACAAGCGGUGUGUGGUGUUGUCACAGUUAUUCUAUUCAUAUUACACCACACUUACACCUUACUUUAUUAGGAGAAAUCAGGUCAAAGUGUUCCCAGACAGGGGAGAAUCUUCUCUUUCUGGCUGGUUCUAUAAAAAAAGAAACUCAAACCGAUUGAAUGCAAAGAUACAGCAGGUAAAAAUCCAACAAAUGUGAACGGGGAAUCCAUUGUGUUUCGCUGCACCUUAUAUUAUGAAUCGCACGUCAAACCUGCGAACCACUUCCUGAACCAGUCACGCGGUAUGACCGGCAUGCGAGGCUUCGAACGUCAUCAUUUUUGGCUCCUCCCCUAAACGAAGCAAGCCUCCAUACGCGCUUCGUGGACACGCCCCCCCGUUACUCGGCACACGCUUCGAAGCCUCGGCACACCUCGUAACGGCACUACUGAUAGCAUCUCUGGCUGCUGUUGACCUUGUUUUUGGAGUAAAACACGGUGGAAGCUGAAUUAGUGAGGAUGACUCCUGCUCCUGUCAUCUCUAAGCUCCUCACACAUCUUUACCUGCAUAUGAGGAAAAUCACUCCUGUAGAAUGCAGAUGUUCAGAGGGAGAUGAUGCCACAUCUGGUCCAGCUGAUGGAAGGUCUUGAAGUUCUCUGACUGGCCUCGACUGAAGAUGGUCGUCUCUCUGGAUUUAAGGUUCAGAUGCUCAGUAACAAACUCCACCAAUGUGCCAACAGAGAAGCUUUAGGUUUAUUAAAUGUUGCUAUGAAGGUAACGCUGUUUUUCUUUGUGAAUGCAAUGUACUGAAACUUGAAUUAGAACUUAGAAGUAAAUCCUUCCAUCUGAAAGGAUUUAGUUGCAUUAAUAACCUCAUAACAUUCUAAUUUUUAUUUCAGUCUUGGUUGGAAAUAGAAUCUCUGUAUUGAUUCAGGUAAAAACUGAACUUCACAGCAUGUUGGAGCAAAACAACCAGAUGAAAACUGUGAUGGUGUUGGAUUGUCAGACCAUAAUGUUGCAGCUCAAAGCAGCUUUUCUAUCUCAGUUCAUUCUGACAUUCAGCUAUGAAUCAACGCAGCAGAUGGUGAUCCAUGCUGUGGAAGUCUCACAUCUCCUGAUUUAAUGGAGCUGCUUUGCACUUUUUACACUGUUUAUUCACCAACACUUUAUUUAAUAAAAGUCCCAUCUAGUUUUCAUGAGGAAUGUGAUGUUUUAAUUUCUCUGUGAAUAACUGCAGUCUAAUGCAACAGCUGGAGUUGUAACAUCUGUCCUGAUAUUAAUCAUGAAGUAUUGAUCAGAAUACUUAUGGUCAGCAGACAUCCCUGAAGUUUUACAUUAAAAUCUUUACUUGAUGGCUUUGGUAAGAAGCAGAAACUUUAGCGUUGCCAUGGAUACAUGAGUGUUAAAUUCUGUCCAUGUUUCCAUUUUGGGAAAUUCAGUCUAGCAGAUGAGUUUGUUUUUACUUCCAGCUACCAUUCAGUCUGAGAUAUUAAGAGUAAAUAAAUGUGCAUAAUGUGGAAAUGAACAUAUUUUAGUUUUAUUUAUUCCUACAGCUGCUGCAGGUAAAGUUAUAGGAUGUGGAGGAAUUUAGUCUCACAAUCACAGACAACAAAUAUUAUCUGAAAGUCAGGUUAUUGUUUAUCAGCACAAUACAAAAAGAUUAAUGUUAGAAAUAUUCCAGUUAAGACUCUAGAAUAUUAUGAUUUAUAUAAAUUUACCUCAAUAAUAUGAAUGUUCAGGUUAAGAUUGUGCAGUGAUAUUUAUUAUGUCAGUUUAGCUGAUUAAUGUUUAUGACUCUUCACUACAAUAUUAUUUAAAUUUACAUCAUUAUUAUAAUAUUUAGGGUCAGACUCUACAGUAUUGAGAUUAAGAAAUCAAAUAUUCUAUAAAAUGUAAAUACACUGAACUCAUUUGGAUAUAUUUAAGUGAGACUCUACAAUAUUAUUUGACACAAAUCUAUAUAAAUCAAAAUUUUAAUCAUUUUUACUCCAAACAUUUACUGGACUGAUUUAAACAUUAAAAUCACUCCUUUCUAAUCCUCUGCUGUAUGUUCAAACCUGAGGCCUUAAAUAGAGAAACACACAAGUAUCUGUUUGAAGGAACUUCUGCAGAAUCCUGGUUCCAGAACAUGAUGAUAGAAUUAUUGCCAAACUUUAACAAAAGCUGCCUGAGAGUCGACAGGUUUUUAUGUCAGAUUUCUUCAGUAAUUUAAUGAGCGUUAUCAGCAAAAAUCAAGUGUUCAGUUGAUGAACUUCAUUUCCUAAAACAUCCAGAAUUGGAGCUCAUAUCUUUGGCAGCUGUAAAGUUUCUGCUCCUUCAAAGUUCACAACACAAUGAAUGAAUUCCUAAAACACUCUAGAUGCUGGAGAGCGUUUGAUGCUGAAGCAGUGAUCAGUUUUUCUGUUUCUUCUCUGGAGAUGCACAAUGAGGGACGUCUGCAGCGACUGAGAAAGAGUCUCACCACAUCCUGACAUGAGGAAAAAGACUUUAUUGAAGACUACAAUGAGAAAAACUAACCCUCUGGAAACCAGCGUUUGGACUGUUUUUGUGUUGCUCCUCACCUACUUCAGACAGCCGGGACAAAACAACGUUUUGUAGACCAAAGGCUAUACUAGGACAUUUUUUGGACGACAGGCUAUACUAUGACAUUUUUAGAGCGACAUGCUAUACUAUGAUGUUUUUUUGGACGACAUGCUAUACUAUGACGUUUUUUAAGCGACAUGCUAUACUAUGAUGUUUUUUGGACGACAUGCUAUACUAUGACAUUUUUAGAGCUACAUGCUAUUGUAACAGAUUGUCAUACAUGACAUUGUAUUUCACUAAAAUCCUCCAUUAGUUGUGGUUUAUGUAUUCUCGUGCCUGUCUCUUUAAGAGCCUGUGUGCGUGUCCCCGCGGCAAUGUGCACCGAGCAUGUACUCUGGCCAGAGCUGUAAAUCUGCAUGGCCAGAGGUGAGUCACAGUUUGAGCACGCUCCCCUGACAGAAGUUUUUAUAAGUUAUUAUUUGUGUCUUAAGUGUAGUGUUAAGCGUUGUGCGUGAUUUUGUCUAGUGUGAAGAUAAUUUUAAGUCAUUUUCGUGAAGUUCUGUUGCCGAAAUAUGUGUUUUUAUUGCAAGGGUGGGUGUAAAGCUAACUGCUAGGCUAGCGCUAGCAGUUAGCCUCUCUUGCCAGUCUGAAUGUGUGCAUGAGUUUUUUUUGUCAGAGAGAGAGAGGAGAAUUGCCGCUGAAAGCACACCAGCUCAUGUGUGAUUGAUUUCGUUGAAACAGGUACGAGAAUAGCUAUGUUACUUGUUUUGUUCUGUAAUUAGUUUUCUGGAUGCUUUAAAAAUAUUACAUUUAUUUGAAGGUAUUUUCCUAAGGAUUAUAUUUGCAUUAACAUUUAUUUGUUUUGAUUUAUUCUGAUCGAUAUGUUUUAUAAUUGCUUCUUUUGUAAGACAUUGGUUAUUUUUUUUAUAUUUUUGUACAUGUAUAUUUUAUAUGAGAGCUGUAAUCUGCAUGGCCAGAGAGAGAGAGAGAGGAGAAUUGCCGCUGAAAGCACACCAGCUCAUGUGUGAUUGAUUUCGUUGAAACAGACAUUAAAAGUGAUCCAGACUCAGA
Molecule: long non-coding RNA, 5305 nt
Organism: Amphiprion ocellaris (clown anemonefish)
Lineage: Eukaryota; Metazoa; Chordata; Actinopteri; Pomacentridae
Exons: 3
Source: RefSeq, a predicted model, not a curated record